CAAAAGAUAAUUUAUUUAAAAUAUUAACAUUGGAAGUUAGAAAUUGGAUCUAAGAUCUAUCUUUUGA
This 67-nucleotide transfer RNA is filed under the name Heteroteuthis hawaiiensis. RNAcentral's name for it is "tRNA-Pro". Lineage: Eukaryota; Metazoa; Mollusca; Cephalopoda; Sepiida; Sepiolidae. The record is from RNAcentral.